This 127-nucleotide ribosomal RNA is filed under the name Chlorophyta sp. A96525TX. Its description in RNAcentral is "partial 5.8S ribosomal RNA". It matches the Rfam family "5.8S ribosomal RNA", at positions 28 to 154 of the family's 154-position model. From Rfam's summary of the family: 5.8S ribosomal RNA (5.8S rRNA) is a component of the large subunit of the eukaryotic ribosome. The record is from RNAcentral. Lineage: Eukaryota; Viridiplantae; Chlorophyta.
UUGCAUCGAUGAAGAACGCAGCGAAAUGCGAUACGUAGUGUGAAUUGCAGAAUUCCGUGAACCAUCGAAUCUUUGAACGCAUAUUGCGCUCGAGCCCUCGGGCAAGAGCAUGUCUGCCUCAGCGUCG